Molecule: ribosomal RNA, 403 nt
Filed under: uncultured bacterium
Lineage: Bacteria
Description: partial 16S ribosomal RNA
Rfam family: Bacterial small subunit ribosomal RNA
Source: RNAcentral
AUUGAACGCUGGCGGCAGGCCUAACACAUGCAAGUCGAGCGAGCGGCGGACGGGUGAGUAAUGUAUGGGGACUGCCCGAUAGAGGGGGAUAACUACUGGAAACGGUGGCUAAUACCGCAUACUAGCGGAUAACCUAUACGGGAUUAGCUAGUAGGUGGGGUAAAGGCUCACCUAGGCGACGACCUCUAGCUAGUCUGAGAGAAUGAUCGGCCACACUGGAACUGAGACACGGCCCCGACGCCAACGGAGGCAGCAGUGGGGAAUAUUGCCCAAUGGGCAGAAGCCUGAUGCAGCCAUGCCGCGUGUAUGAAGAAGGCCUUAAGGUUGUAAAGUACCUCCAGCGGGGAGGCGUUACCCGAAGAAGAAGCACCGGCUAACUCCGUGCCAGCAGCCGCGGUAAUAC